Molecule: long non-coding RNA, 1843 nt
Organism: Rosa chinensis
Lineage: Eukaryota; Viridiplantae; Streptophyta; Magnoliopsida; Rosales; Rosaceae
Exons: 4
Source: RefSeq, a predicted model, not a curated record
AUUCCUGACCUGCUUUUAGAACUGCUUCUGCUUUUGGGUCUACCCUAGAGUGUUUGGUAAAAUUUUCAAAAGCAGCUUUAGGUCCAAAUAGCUUCUCCCCACAGCUGAUUUUGAGAAGCUACCAAUUGGUUGCUUUUGGAGCUGCUUUGGGGAAAAACACGGAGCAACAGUAGAAACUUAAUGAAAUUUGUUAAACUACCAAUUUUGUCCUCCUCCUUUCCGGACAAUUACAUUGAAACAAAUAGGGUUCAGCUUUGAUCUUCAUCCCCUCUUUGCCGUCAAAACUACAUUGCAACAUCUGUUGCUCAUCGAACUUCUCCUCCUUCUCUCUUUGCAAAUUGGUGUGCUUGAAAUUCCGGGGCAAGACAAGCCUCGCCAACUCCACAGGGUCCCAAACCACGAAGCUUCUUCUAGUAGAACCCCACGAUAUGAUCAAAUCCAGCGACGGGUCGUCCACCAAAUCAAAUGUCUUUGCACAAAAACGGCGGCACUGGAGUCUCCUGCAGACACUGAAGCGGCUGCGGCACUCCCACAUAAUCGCUACUCCCACCACUGAAAGGUUCAAUCUUGCUCUCCUCACCAUACUCUCAGUCACUCCAAUUAUAUGUAGAGUUUGGCAGAGAGUGAACACUGCAAACUCUUGAAAGGUCACCCAUUUCAGGUUCAGGUUGAACUCGCUUAGCACAUUUAUAAUGGAUUUGGAAGUUUUGGGGCAUGAGUUGCAGUUCAUUCAGGAUCCUAAUUCAAAGCAUCUAGGAACUACGGUUUGGGAUGCAUCACUGGUAUUCGCCAAGUUUCUGGUAAUGACUGUAACCCUCUAGAGACUCUUGUAAAGUUCCCAUGAUUUUAGCUUUCACAUGUUGCUACGUUCUUCUGGUGUAUGAUUUGUGUAGGUUUACGGUUUGAGUUGAAACUUUAUGGGUCCAUUUGAGUCCAAGAUUUGGAUGACGAACGAAGAGCAAGAUGUACUCAUCCUUGAAAUAGAUCUAUUAUGCAUUGAUGACUUUGAAUGUGAUUACCAGAACAUAAAAGCUAUAAAGUCUUUACAAGUUCGGUCAUAAAAGUCUCAGAAUUAUUGUUCUCAUUAGACAAUCUACAAUUCUUUCUACAAGGUUGAUGUACUUAAUAACAAACAUAUAGUAACAUAAAACAAUGACAAACAUAUUUUGUAAGUAAAUAAUCAGAAAUAUUUUGCUUCCUAGGAAUUAUUAAGGUUAUUCAGGUCACUAGUUUGGGGGCAAAAGGUAACAGUCAUACUUCUUUGAAAUUCAGAUUGGGGAUCCUGUUUGGAUUGACAGAGCUAUGUGUGCGCUGAAGAAGUUGGAUGGGAUUAUGGAGGAGGUGACCGAGGAGGAGUUGAUGGAUGCCAAUGGCGCAAGUGGAUUCUAUUAGCAUGUUUAUAUGUCCUCACACUGGUGUGGUGCUAGCGGCGUUGAUUAAGCUCCAGAUUUGGCCUGCCAGUUUGCCAACCCACCGGUUCAAGUGGGGCUGAUUUUGGGUUGAUAUGGAUGUUUUGAAGAAAUACUUGAGUAAUUUAGAGGCUCCAAAGCAUUAGUUUUGUAGAGGGCAUUGUGAGUGUGUUCUGCUCUACUGCUUCAUGUACUCUAAAUUUUAUGAAACUCCAUUGGUGAAAGCGUUUAGCCGUUUAGGCAUUGGUAUUGUUCUCUAUGUGCUUUUUACUUUGGUGAUUCAAUGUAGGAUGAGGAACUGUUUUAGCUUGUAGUGCUCAGAAUAUGGUGGAGAAGGGAGUCAUUUAUAAGGCAGCAUUGCCAAAUUUUGUGUAUGAGUUCAUUAUCAUAUGAAUUUCACCACAUUUUUCCUUAUAACAAGUUUUCUUUAGCUU